RNAcentral lists this ribosomal RNA (319 nucleotides) under uncultured Pseudomonadota bacterium. RNAcentral describes it as "bacterial SSU rRNA". It matches the Rfam family "Bacterial small subunit ribosomal RNA", at positions 30 to 351 of the family's 1533-position model. Lineage: Bacteria; Pseudomonadati; Pseudomonadota. The record is from RNAcentral.
AUUGAACGCUGGCGGCAUGCCUUACACAUGCAAGUCGAACGGUAACGCGGGGCAACCUGGCGACGAGUGGCGAACGGGUGAGUAAUACAUCGGAACGUGUCCUGAAGUGGGGGAUAACGCAUCGAAAGAUGUGCUAAUACCGCAUAAUCUCUGAGGAGGAAAGUAGGGGAUCGAAAGACCUUAUGCUUUUGGAGCGGCCGAUGUCUGAUUAGCUAGUUGGUGGGGUAAUGGCUUACCAAGGCGACGAUCAGUAGUUGGUCUGAGAGGACGACCAGCCACACUGGGACUGAGACACGGCCCAGACUCCUACGGGAGGCUG